RNAcentral lists this ribosomal RNA (328 nucleotides) under uncultured eukaryote. RNAcentral describes it as "partial 18S ribosomal RNA". It matches the Rfam family "Eukaryotic small subunit ribosomal RNA", at positions 1470 to 1796 of the family's 1831-position model. The record is from RNAcentral.
CCCUUAGAUGUCCUGGGCCGCACGCGCGCUACACUGAUGCAUGCAACGAGUUUAUAACCUUGGCCUGAAAGGUCUGGGUAAUCUUUUGAACGUGCAUCGUGAUAGGGAUAGAUUAUUGCAAUUGUUAAUCUUGAACGAGGAAUUCCUAGUAAACGCGAGUCAUCAGCUCGCAUUGAUUACGUCCCUGCCCUUUGUACACACCGCCCGUCGCACCUACCGAUUGAAUGGCUCGGUGAAGAUCUCGGACUUCGAUAUUUAUUCUUUAUUGAGUUUAUAUUGUGGGAAGUUAUCUAAACCUCAUCAUUUAGAGGAAGGUGAAGUCGUAACA